CUGCCAUGAUGCCAGCUGCAGUGUGGGAGGUAAGACUGGAGCUUGUGGACUCCACAAAGCUGCAGGAGCCAGGAACAGG
This 79-nucleotide microRNA precursor is filed under the name Chlorocebus sabaeus (green monkey). RNAcentral describes it as "miRNA (ENSCSAG00000024186.1)". Lineage: Eukaryota; Metazoa; Chordata; Mammalia; Primates; Cercopithecidae. The record is from RNAcentral.